GUGAACGUUGGGCUGAGUCUACUAAGGAGCCCCUCGGUCAGCGGCAUCACUGGUGUCUCACCUCCCAGUUUGCGCAUGCUCCUUCCCUAACCUUUAGACCUUAUGCUCUGACCCUACCGUGUAACCUGUUAGGGCAGCCAUUUUCCAGCUAUGCAGCAGCUGUUUUAGAAGAAACGGUUCUUAAUAAGAUAAGCAUUUCAUUAGAUGCACACGCUUCCUGUUUCAGCGCCUGCCUCACAGGAACAAGACUGGUACCCAGGCUACUCCCAUUUGCCCAUAAUUCGGCUCAUGGACAGCUCAUCCGGUUCAGAACCACUUAGCUUUGCUUGGCUGUUCCGCUGAAGCUAGGCUGUUCAUGAGAAACCCCGCCAUACAAUUGCGGCACCUCGGGGGACCGUAUACAUUUAUGAGAUGAGGUGACUCAACUUCAGGAAGGAAAGAACUCCAACACAUGGUCUGGCAGCUCUGCUUGCAAAGGCAUCGUGGGAGCCCCUCGGUGGCACCUGAAACUGGGCGUCGGAGAGACAGAAGGCAUGAGCCCUUGCCCCAAGAUUGGUUUUGUUUGUUUAUUGUGCCGCUGACCACCUCCAAUCCUGGGUUAUUUCAUCUGUAGAAUAAGGGAAAUGAUGUUUUCUCCUUAAGGUAUUGUAAAGAUUAAACAAGAUAAAUUAUUAUACAA
Molecule: long non-coding RNA, 679 nt
Organism: Rattus norvegicus (Norway rat)
Lineage: Eukaryota; Metazoa; Chordata; Mammalia; Rodentia; Muridae
Source: RefSeq, a predicted model, not a curated record